AGAUUGAACGCUGGCGGCAUGCUUUACACAUGCAAGUCGAACGGUAACAGGCCGCAAGGUGCUGACGAGUGGCGAACGGGUGAGUAAUGCAUCGGAACGUGCCCAGUCGUGGGGGAUAACGCAGCGAAAGCUGUGCUAAUACCGCAUACGAUCUAUGGAUGAAAGCGGGGGACCGAAAGGCCUCGCGCGAUUGGAGCGGCCGAUGUCAGAUUAGCUAGUUGGUGAGGUAAUGGCUCACCAAGGCGACGAUCCGUAACUGGUCUGAGAGGAUGAUCAGUCACACUGGAACUGAGA
RNAcentral lists this ribosomal RNA (294 nucleotides) under uncultured soil bacterium. RNAcentral describes it as "partial 16S ribosomal RNA". It matches the Rfam family "Bacterial small subunit ribosomal RNA", at positions 26 to 324 of the family's 1533-position model. The record is from RNAcentral.